RNAcentral lists this non-coding RNA (181 nucleotides) under Gracilibacillus kekensis. Lineage: Bacteria; Bacillati; Bacillota; Bacilli; Caryophanales; Bacillaceae. The record is from RNAcentral.
AAAUGAAUUAUGUUUAAUGGUGACAAUUUCUUAAUAGGGAAUCUGGUGUAAGUCCAGAACUGUCCUCGCAACUGUAAGUGCAGACGAAAUAGCUGAUAUCACUGUACGUAUUACGUAUGGGAAGAGGCUAAAGUAGAAGUAAAGCACAAGUCAGGAGACCUGCCAUUAUUCAUCUAUAUUC